UUGGAGGGCAAGUCUGGUGCCAGCAGCCGCGGUAAUUCCAGCUCCAAUAGCGUAUAUUAAAGUUGUUGCAGUUAAAAAGCUCGUAGUUGAACUUCGGGGUUAGUAGGUUGGUCAUGCCUCUGGUAUGUACUGAUCUCACUGAUUCCUCCUUCCUUAUGAACCGUAAUGCCAUUAAUUUGGUGUUGCGGGGAAUUUGGACUGUUACUUUGAAAAAAUUAGAGUGUUUAAAGCAGGCUAACGCUUGAAUACAUUAGCAUGGAAUAAUGAAAUAGG
RNAcentral lists this ribosomal RNA (273 nucleotides) under uncultured Glomus. RNAcentral describes it as "partial 18S ribosomal RNA". It matches the Rfam family "Eukaryotic small subunit ribosomal RNA", at positions 548 to 826 of the family's 1831-position model. The record is from RNAcentral. Lineage: Eukaryota; Fungi; Glomeromycota; Glomeromycetes; Glomerales; Glomeraceae.